AUUGCUGUUCGUCGUGGGUGUCGUUCUGCCUAAGUUUCCGAAACACUUAAGAAAAUUUUGUACAAUUGACAUGAGCUCAAUGGUGGAAAUCAUUUCUCCCAGCCCGGGUCUCCAAUGCUGAGUUAAAGAAGUCUUUGAGAAAAGUAAAUUUUGGCGAGUGGGAAAAGUGCAGUGGCCUAAUCAGGUUGAUAGGCAGAGGAAAUCAUGAUAUUCGUAAACGUGCUGAUCAUCGUCAAGGGAUUGCCAUUGCAAAAUCUCAAAGCUGAGGACUCCACCUUGAGUUAGCACCAGACUGACAAGUCACUUCCCGAGAAGCAUUUUCCUGAAUUUGAAUACAGGAAUUUAUCGGAAUUCGGACCUAAUAGGCUAGUCACUCGGUGGCAAAUCUUCCUAAGAUUUUGAAUAUUAGAGUUUUUUUAGAAUGAGAAUCUUCAAAGAUUUGUGUUAAUGCCAAAGCACUAAAUA
This is a long non-coding RNA of Macrobrachium nipponense, 465 nucleotides long. RefSeq lists it as uncharacterized. The transcript is spliced from 3 exons. The record is from RefSeq and is a predicted model, not a curated record. NCBI's taxonomy places the organism in Eukaryota, Metazoa, Arthropoda, Malacostraca, Decapoda, Palaemonidae.